GCUGGCAUAUAUGAUGACUGAACUUUUUUCCCCGACAGAUCGACCAUGUUGAUCUAACUUAUGUAAGCCAGUUUCUGUCUGAUGUGCCAGC
Small nucleolar RNA from Callithrix jacchus (white-tufted-ear marmoset), 91 nucleotides. Ensembl annotates it as small nucleolar RNA, C/D box 12B. Its record names the gene SNORD12B. NCBI's taxonomy places the organism in Eukaryota, Metazoa, Chordata, Mammalia, Primates, Cebidae. The record is from Ensembl.